AUAUCCCUUUUAGUUGCAAUUAGAGCAUGUGAAAAUCCUAUUACCUUUGAGGAACUCUACGAUAAGCUCAUUGACUUUGAAGGAACUUUUAAAUGAGAUGAAUCCAUAAAAGUGCUAUUGUUAUUGCCAACUAUAACUAAAAAUAUAGAGGCAAUCAGUCGGGUAAUGGUAACAACUAAUGUCAAGGCCAAAACCCUUCGCA
RNAcentral lists this long non-coding RNA (202 nucleotides) under Elaeis guineensis (African oil palm). Its description in RNAcentral is "long non-coding RNA (EGUI_LNC009382)". Lineage: Eukaryota; Viridiplantae; Streptophyta; Magnoliopsida; Arecales; Arecaceae. The record is from RNAcentral.